This 331-nucleotide ribosomal RNA is filed under the name uncultured eukaryote. RNAcentral describes it as "partial 18S ribosomal RNA". It matches the Rfam family "Eukaryotic small subunit ribosomal RNA", at positions 1470 to 1796 of the family's 1831-position model. The record is from RNAcentral.
CCCUUAGAUGUUCUGGGCCGCACGCGCGCUACACUGUUCGACGCAGCGAGUCUUAACCUUGACCGAAAGGUUUGGGUAAUCUUCAGCAAAGUCGAACGUGAUGGGGAUCGAUCAUUGCAAUUAUUGAUCGUGAACGAGGAAUUCCUAGUAAGUGCAAGUCAUCAGCUUGCGCUGAUUACGUCCCUGCCCUUUGCACACACCGCCCGUCGCUACUACCGAUUGAAUGGUUUAGUGAGAUCUCUGGAUUGACGCUGGCUAGGGGGCGACCCUUGGCCAGGCUGUCGAGAAACUGCUCAAACUUGAUCAUUUAGAGGAAGUAAAAGUCGUAACA